UCCAUCUCCCAUCACCAUUUUCUGUUGAAGGAAAUCUGGGUUCUUUCCAGCUUCUGGCUAUUAUAAAUAAGGCUACUAUGGAAAUAGUGGAGCUUGUGUUCUUGUUAUAUUUUGUAGCAUCGUUUGGGUCUAUGAGCAAGAGUAGUAUAUCCAGGUUGUCCAGUAGUACUACAUCCAAUUUAAUGAGGAACAUCCAGACUUCUUUCCAAAGUAUCUAUAUCAGUUUGCAUUUUCCCCAGCAAUGGAAGAGGAUCCUAUUUCUCCACAUCCUCUCCAGGAUCUCUUUUCACCUUAAGUUUUAUCUUAGCCAUUCUGACUGAUGAGAAGUGAAAUUUCAGGGUUGUUUUUAUUUGCAUUUCCCUGGUGAUUAAGGAUGUUGAACUUUAGGUGCUUCACAGCCAUUUGAUAUUCUUCAGUUGAGAAUUUGUUGUUUAGCUUGACCCCCAUUUGUUAAUACAGUUAUUGGAGUCUCUGGAGUUGUACUUCUUGAGUUAUUUGUGUAUGUUAAAUAUAAUUCCUCUAUCAGACAUAGGAUUGGUAAAGAUAUUUCCCCAAUAUUUUGGUUGCCAUUUUGUCCAAUUGACAAUAUUAUUUGCCUUACAGCAGCUUUCCAAAUUCAUGAGGUCCCAUUUGCUGGUUCUUGAUCUUAGAGCAUAAGCCAAUUAUGUUCUGUUCAGGACAUUUUCCCCACUGCUCAUGUGUUCGAGACUAUUCCCCUCUUUUUCUUCUAAUAGUUUGAGUGUAUCUGGUUUUUGUGAAGGUCAUUGUUCCACUUGGACUUCAGUUUGGACAGAGAGGUAAGAAUGGAUUAACUUGCCUUCUUCUAUAUGUUGACCUCCAGCGGAAACAACUCCAUUUGUUCAAAAUCCCAUCUUUUUUUCCAAAGGACAGUUUUGACUCCUUUUUCAAAGAUCAGGUGACCAUAGAUGUGGUGGGGAGGGUCAUUUCUGUGCCUUUAAUUCUAUUACCUUGAUCUACCUUCCUGUCUCUGUACCAAUACAAUAGAGCUUUUAUCAUGCUGCUCUGUAAUAUAGCUUGAAGUUAGGGAUUUCUAUAGAAAUAUUCUUUUAUUGUUCUUUUAUUGUUGAGAAAUAUUUUUACUAUCCUAAGUUUUAUUUUCCAAAUGAAUUUGUAAAUUUCUCUUUCUAAUGCUAUGAGGAAUUGAAUUGAAAUUUUGAUGGAGAUUGCAUUGAACCUGUAGAUUGCUUAAGGCAAAAUUUCCAUUUUUACUAAAUUAAUACUGAGAAUUUAUGAGCAUGGGAGGUCUUUCCAUUUCUGGGAUCUUUUUUGAUUUCUUUCUUCAGAGACUUAAAGUUUGUGUCAUACAGAUAUUUCACUUGCUUUGUUAGAGUCAUACAAUGUAUUUGAUAUAGUUUGUGAGUAUUGUGAAGGGUGUUAUUUCCCUAAUUUCCUUCUCAGACUGUUUAUCUUUGGAGUAGAGAAAGACUACUGAUCUGUUUGAGUUAAUUUUAUGUCCAACCACUCUGAUGAACAUGCUAAUCAGGGUUAGGAGUGCUCUGGUGAAUUUUUGGGGCCACUUAAGUAUAUGAUCAUACAUUCUGCAAAUAGUGAUAUUUUGACUUCUUACUUUCCAAUUCGAAUUCUUUUGAUUUCUAUUUGUUUUAUAGUAUUUCAAGUACUACAUUUAAUAGGUGGAGAAUGGGAAGCAUUUUCUACUCCCCAGUAGUAGUGGGAUUGCCACAAUUUUCUCUCCAGUAAGUUCAGAGUUGGCUACUGGCUUGCUAUAUAUUGCUUUUUACAACAUUCAAGUUUGGGCCUUAAACACCUGAUUAAUCCAAGACUUUUAUCAUGACAAAGUGUUGAAUGUGUCAAAUGGUUUCUCAGCGUCUAAUAAGACGAUUAUGCAGUCUUUUUGUUAGUGUAUUUAUAUAGUGUAUUAUGUUGAUGGAUGUAUACUGAAACAUCCCUGCAUCCCUGGUUUGAAGCCUACUUGAUCAUGAUGGAUGAUCCUUUUGAUUUGUACUGGGAUUCAGUUUACAAGAAUCUUACUAAGUAUUUUGUAUUGAAGUUCAUAAGGAAGAAUGGUUUGAAGUUCUCUUUCCUUGUUGCAUCUUUUGUAGUUUAGGUGUAACCAUAAAUGUGGCUUCAUAAACGAAUUGAGUAACAUUCUUUCAGUUUCUACUUUGUGGAAUAGAUUGAAAAGUAUUGGUAUUAGGUCUCCUUUGAAGGUAAGAUAGAAUUCUGCACUAAAUCCAUCUGGUCCUGAUCUUUUAUGGUUGGGAGACUUUAAUGACUUCUUUUAUUUCUGUAGUGGUUAUGGGACUGUUUAAAUGGUUUAUCUGAUCCUGAUCUAACUUUGUUACCAGAUAUCUGUCUAGGAAAUUAUCCAUUUCAUUUAGAUUUUCCAGUUUUGCUGAGUAUUGCCUUCUGAUUUUUUUUAAUUUCCUCAGUUUCUUUUGCUAUUUUUCCCUUUCCAUUUCUCAUUUGUUCAUUUUGAUAGGAUCCCUGUGCCCUCUGGUUAGUUUUGCUAAUGUUUUAUCUAUGUUAUUGAUUUUCUCAAAGAACCAUCUCCUGGUUUUGUUGAUUCUUUGAAUAGUCCUUUCUGUUUUACUUCAUUGAUUUUAGCUCUAAAUUUGAUUUUUUUUCCUGCUGUCUAUUCCUCUUUUGUGAAUUUGCCUCUUUUUUCUAGAGCUUUCAGGUGUUAUGUCAAGCCGUUAGUGUAUGCUCUCUGUAAUUUCUUUUCAGAGGCACUCAGAGCUAAGUGUUUUCCUCUUAGCACUUCUUUCAUUGUAUCCCAUAAGUUUGUGUAUGUUGUGCCUACAUUUUCAGUAAACUCAAAAAUGUCUUUAGUUUCUUUAUUUCUUCAUUGAUCAAAUUAUCAUUGAGUAGAGCAUUGUUCAACUUCCAUGUAUAUGUGGAAUUUCUGUUGUUUUUGUUCUUAUUGAAGACUAGCCUUAGUGCACGGUGAUCUGAUAGAAUGCAUGAGAUGGUUUCAAUAUACUUGUAUGAAAUGAGGCCUAUUCAGUGACCAAGUAUAUGGCCAAUUUUUGAGAAGGUACCAUGAGGUUCUGAGAAGAAGGUAUAUUCUAUGGUUUUUAAGAUGACAUGUUCUAUAGAUGUCUGUUGAAUUCAGUUGUUUCAUACUUUCUUUUCAAUUUCAUUGUGUCUCCGUUUAGUUCUGUUUGAAGAAACUGUCCAUUGAUGACAGUAUGGUGCUAAAGUCUCCUACUAUUAUUUUGUGUGUUGCAAUGUAUGAUUUGAUCUUUAGUAUAGCUUUUUUUUUAAUCAAUAUGAAUCCUCUGACAUGUGGAGCAACGAUGUUAAGUAUUGAGAGUUCAUCUUGGUGGAUUUUUCCUUCAAUCAAUAUGAAGUGACUUUCCUUACUUUUUUGGAUAACUUUUGCUUGAAAGUCGAUUAUAUUUGAUAUUAGAAUAGCUCCUGCAGCUUGUUUCAUGGGAUCAUUUGCUUUGAAAAAAAUUCUCAGCCUUUUAUUCUUAGGUGGUAUCUGUCUUGAGCUCUGGGCAGCAUUCCUGUUUACAUCAAAAUGCUGGGUCCAGUUUAAUUGUCCAGUCUAUUAGCCUAUGUUUUUUUAUUAUGAAAUUGAGUCCUUUGGUGUUAAGAGAUAUUAAGGAAUAGUGAUGAUUUCCUGUUAUUUUUGUUGUUAGAUGUGUACUUUUAUAUGUAUGGCUAUCUUCUUUUGGAUCUGUUGCAAAAACAUUAUUUCUUGAUUUUUCAAGGGUGUAGUUUUUUUCCUUUCUUUUGGAAUUUUCCAUCUAUUAUCCUUUGAAGGGCUGAAUUUGUGGAAAUAUAUUGUGUAAAUUUGGUUUUGUCAUGGAAUAUCUUGGUUUUGCCAUUUAUGUUAAUUGGGAGUUUUGCUGGGUGUCAUAGCAUGGGCUUCCAUUUGUGUUCUCUUAGAGUCUGAAUGACACCUUGCCAGUAUCUUCUAGCUUCCAUAGUCUCUGCUGAGAGUCUGGUGUAGUUAUGAUAGAUUUGCCUUCAUAUGUUUUUUGACUUUGUCCCCUACUGCUUUUAAUACAACUUCUUUGUUUUGUUUAUUUGGUGUUUUCUCUAUUAUGUGAUGUGGGAAUUUCUUUUCUGAUCCAAUUUGUUUGGAAUUCGAUAGGCUUCUUUUAUUUUCAUGGGCAUCUCUUUCUUUAGGUUAUGGAGUAUUCUUCUAUAAUUUUGUUGAAGAUAUUUCCUGGUCCUUUAACAUGGGAGUCUUUGUUUUCUUCUAUACCUAUUAUUCUUGAGUUUGAUGUUCUCAUGUGUCCUCCAUUUCUUGGAUGUUUUGGCUUAGGAUUUUUUUUUUACUUCUGGCAUUUUCUCUGACUAGAUUGUCAGAGUUUUAUACAGUAUCUACUGUCCCUGAAAUUCUCUCUUCAAUCUCUUGUAUUCUGUUGGUGAUGCUUGUGGCUGUGAUGACUGAUCUCUUUCCUAGAUUUUUAUUCUGCAGCUCCCAAGGCUGUAUAUUCCCAGCUAGUCCAUCAAUGGAGAGAAAGUGGUGUCCCACCUGUGGGCUAUGUGCUUAGGAAGGAGAGCACUGGCAGACCAACUCUCUGCAGAAAGGUUUUGUGUCUGAGUGCUGUGGAAUAACCACAACUCUGGGUGCAAUUUUUUUUCUUUUCUAGUAAAAUGUAUGAAUAUAUCAAGCAAUAUAUGCCCCAAAACUCCUAAAGGUAUCAAAUCUCUUCAUUCUGUUAAAUCUAAAUUCAUAUGAUGAUACUGUAAGAACAUAUCAGUUUACUAAUUCUAAUUUGCUGGUAUUUACCUUUCCAGUAAAAUAGCGAAAAUGUUAUUAUAGUUUAUUUCAUUAUUGGAUAUCAAUAUAGAUUUAAAUUUACGUAAAGUAUUCAUUAAUUUCUAUGUGGAAAAUACCAUAAAUAACUGAGGUGAAAUCAUCAUAUGGCAAACAAUUUAAUCACAUGAAGUAAAUUUCUUUGAUUUAUUAAUAUUUUCACUCUAUUCCUUCAUUGCUACCUCAAGGAAAGUGUCUUCAUAAUGUACUUUCUAUAUUCCUUAACUUGCAUCCCAAACCUACCUAGUAAAGUUUUUAUUUGUUCUUUUUUGUAUUUCUGUGUUAGAAAUAGUUAGUUAUUAUUUUGUAUUUGAUUGAUUGUUUGUUUAUCUGUUGUAUUAGUUACUGUGGAGAAAAAACUGGCAACACCUGAUGUCUGUGUGACUCAGUGGAUCAUAUGCUAGAAUUACAAAAAAUGGUCAAAACUUCAACACACAUUAUUAUUGGAAACAAAAAGUAUGAGUAUUAAAAGUAUUUGAAGAAAUGGAUUUAAAGUUAGAGAUUUUUAUGAAAAAUUGAUGUUUUUCAAAAUAAUUUAAUCUGAUUAUAGUUGUUCUCACUCUACUAGUCCCAGUCUCUGUCCACAGGCAAUUCUAUUGCUAUAAAACUUUUUGAAGAUCUACAAACAAAUUAAAACGAAAUACAAAAUUGUAGUAAGAUUUUAAAAAAAGCUAAUACAAUGGAAAUGGACAAAGCAAAUGAGCAGAAGAAAAGAAGUCCAAAAAAAAAAAAAAAAGCACAGGAGGAAGAGACACAAUCACUCACACAUUCUAGUACUGUAUAAUAAUGCUCAAAUGAAAGCCAUAAUAUGUAGGCAGAAGACCAAGAAGAGACACUCUGAGAAUUCAUAUGAGCUCAGAUUAUAUUGUUUAGGUAGCUUUGUUUUCUUGGAGUUUCCCAUGUGCUCAGCCUAUUGCACAUGUUUUUCUUCUUCAGGGUUACCUCAUCACUGAAAGGAUGGAUUUGAUGUGGUCAUUAACUUCAGGGCUUUGUGCACCAAGAACUAUCACUCUGUACAAUUUGUAACACUGUAGGUGUCUGUACUUUUUCCUAACUUAAGAAGUGAGUCUUAAUUCAAAUUAGAUAUUACUUGGCUACUGACAAAUGCUUUGUUUCACCAUUGUAGUAGCAUCUCUUUCAGACAGGAUAUGUUAUUGUAGAUCAAAAUAUUUGUGGCUUGCUUGGUGUAUACAUUUUUGUUCAGUAGUGUGUAGAAUACAAUCUUCACCCAAAGGCCAUAGAACAUGUGUGGAAAGUGGAGGUGGACUCUAAGUAGAUACGAACUCAACUUCUCAUUUUUCCAUGAGUUUGUAGGAGUAAGCCAUUCCUCAUAUGGGAAACUCCAUUUGCUAACAGAGAUUUUCAGUUGUAGCUCUGUCUUCCAUAUCAUUUGGCACUGUCAUUUAAAUUGGAUUCAUAUAUGCAUAUAUUAACGAAUAGUCCCUAUUUAUUUACAUACUAAUCCUCAAAGGCCUUUCAUUUUAACACUCUAUAAUGAUUUCCCCUCCUCCAUUUACUUCUCCACUUCACUCCUUUUUAUCCUGCUUCCAAUCCCCAUUCUGACACUCCAUAUCAAUCGAUUUAAUUUCCCUUUCCUUAGGAGACAUAUCUGUCACUUCUACUCCCUUACUCUAAAGCCAAUCUGGUUUUACACAUUAGAGUUUGUUUAUCAGUGACAUGUAGCUAUUAUUCACAAAUAAGCAAAUACAUAUCAUAUUUAUCUUUUGGGGACUGUGUUUCAUCAUUCAGUAUAAAGGUUACUAGUUCCAUUCAUUUAAUUGUGGUUUUCAUUAUUUCAUUUCUUUUAAAAUAUGAAUUUUUAAACAAGAAAAAGUAGGUGGAAAUUACAAUGUUAACUCUUAUCUGCAAUUCUUCUUAAACAGGGAGGAAGCAGUAUGUAAAGCCACUUUGGAUUAUGCUAGUCAGGAGAAACCUUGGACUCUGUAUUGAAGACCAACAAAAGAUUAGUUGUAAAAUCAUGGGAAAAUUGGACAAAGGAAAAAACAAUUUCUGAGAAAUCAGAUAAAUAAUUGAAAUCAUUUCAUAUUAUAGGAAUGAGCAAUAGGACAGUACAAAUCAAAUCUGAUGAUUAUUAAUAUUUUUAAAACCACUGAGACAUACAGGUAUAGAUAACAGUAGCUUGCAUGCCUAGUGUGUUACAGUUCCUGAAACAAAUUCCUAGUGAUUCAGUGAAAAGUAAGUUUGAGACACAGUGAGUGAGUAGAAAAGGUGAAAUGAACUCCAGUCAAAACAAAUGACCAAAGUUUCUUACUGCUGUGGAACAGAAACCAUGACCAAGGCAACACUUAUAAAGACAGCAUUUAAUUGGGGCUGGCUUAUAGGUUCAGAAGUUAAGUCCAAAAUCAUGAAGGCAGGAACACAACAGCAUCCAGGCAGGCAUUGUACAGGAGGAGCUGAGAUUUUUACAUCUUCAACUGAAGGCUGUUAGCAGAAAAUUGGUUUACAGGCAACUAGGAUGCGGGUCUUAAGGCUCACACCCACAGUGACACACUUACUCCAACACCACCUCCCCUACUCCAAAAUGGCCACACCUUCUCAUAGCUCCAUUCCAUAUGUCAAACAUAUACAAACCGUCACUUCGACUCAUGGGCCUGUAUAGCCAUAUUUAAACAUAUGAGUCUGUGAGGACCAUACCUAAACAAAGCAUAAUGUGAAAUAAAUUUUGUCUGUAUUUAUUUUUGGUUUUUAAAAAUUAAUUUAUUUAUUUUAUUGGAUAUUUUAAAUAUUUAUAUUUCAAAUGUUCUCCCCAUUUCCCCUAUCCUGUUCCCCCUCUUCCCUCCCCCUGCUUCAAUGCUCCCAUUCCCACCCAUUCACUCCCACCUCAACAUCUGUCAUUCUCCUAAACUGGAGAUACAAAACUUCACAGGACCAAGGGUUUGUCCUCCUAUUGAUACCAGAUAAUGCCAUUUUCUGUUACAUAUAUGGCUGGAGCCUCCAUAUGUACACUUUGUCUGGUGGUUUAGUGUCUGGGAUCUGUGGUGGUCUGGUUGGUUGAUAUUAUUGUUCUUUCUACAAGGUUGCAAAACUAUUCUGCUCCUUAAGCCAUUUCACUAACUACCCUUUUGGGGUUCCCAUGCUCAGUCCAAUGGUUUGCUGAAAGAGUCCCCAUCUGUAUCAAUAAGUCUCUGGCAGAGCUUCUCAAUAGACACCCAUAUCAAGUUCAUAUCAGCAAGUACUUCUUGGCAUCAGCAAUAGUGACUGGACUUGGAGGCAGCAUAUGGGAUGAAUCUCCAGGUGAGGCAGCUACUGGAUGACCUUUCCUUCAGUUCCUGCUUCACUUUAACACUUUCAGCAAUCUAUAGCAGACUCAACAAUGUUAAAAGUCCAAAUUCCAAAGUCUCUUCUGCGAUUCAUCUAGUCACUUAACUGUAGUCCUCAAAGCAACACAGAGAAACCAAUUGUGCAAACUCCAAACUCUGCAUCUCAAUGACUGAUAUCAAAGUAGUCUUCAGAUCUCCAACUCCUUUUUAAUCUUUAUUGACUGCAACAAAUGUCUUUCUCCUGUACUGAUUUCACUCUCUGUUAUCUGCUUUCCUCAGCAGACAAUCCAUGGCUCUGGCAUCUGAAAUAUCUCGGGCUUUCCAAGGCAGUGUCUUCUACAAAGUUUGCUGAGCCAUGGAGGAGGAAUUUAGAUGGCAAUAUGUGAUUUAUGACAGAAUUAUCCAAGUUCAUUCAUGCUGUACACUGUCCAGCUGAAGAACCAGUGGAGGACCAGUGGAGGGAAAAUGAUUAAUCACUGAUGAAGACUGGGUCAAGAGAGAUCAGAGUGGUGGCAAGGACUGCUGAGAUAUAUAACCAGUCUGAAGACUGAGGUGAAUUCUGGACCCAUGGGAAAGGAUUAUGUCCGAGUCCUCAUAGCAUGGAAGUAUGAAUAAAUUUUCCAAUCCAUGAACAUUGUCGAGAAGGAGUGAAUACUCCAGUUAGUCACCAACUUAACUUCUUCAUGUUCAAUGAGAUAGAAUGUGACACUGUCUCACAAAUUCCAAAAAUUAAACAGAAUAUGAACAAAAAUAGAAAUAAAAUAAAGGAGCGAAGGAGGAGGAAUCAGAGGAGAAAAAGGAGGAAGAGGAUAAAAAGAGGACUCCACUAAUGAGAGAAAACGAAAAGCUCAUAAAAUGUGCUCUCAGUUUUCUCCCAAGACAAAGAUUCAUGAGAGGUGAAGGGAGAGUAUUAAUAGAGAAUUUGCAUUUACAACUGAGUUACCAAAUUUCUCUUAAUAUCUACACAAUGUUCAGGAAUUAUGAAUAAAUUUUCCAAUCCAUGAACACCAUCUAGAAGGGGUGAAUACUCCAGUUAGUCCCCAACUUAAGUUCUUCAUGUUCAAUGAGAUAGAUUAGGGUGAGCCCUGGCAGCAGACAAGAAAAUGAACUCAUCUCUCAUAGUGGCCAUUGUACCGCAAUCCAGGUAGAGACACUUGUCGUUCUGACAUCAUCUUGGAGAUCUUGUGCCAGAUGUCUCUUUGGUGAAGAACUGCAGCUUCGAUGGCACUGUGGGUCUACAGUUUUACCAGGGUCCACGCGUCUAUUUGGCCUUGAAGUUCUCUGUUACCUUCGAAAAUGCCACUAACAAAACUGCAUUGUCUCAUUUAUUACAACUGAGCCAAUAUCCAGAGACCUGGAGAGAGUCUUUGCCAACAUCAUUCAGGUUGGAUUGUACACACAAGGAACAACACCACCCAGAAGAUAGAGGCAGAAAAAUAUGAAUCUCAAGAAAUCUAUGGAUUUCUCUGGACAGUCUGAAUCCAUAUCAGAGGAAAGGUGAUAUAUGUUCUGUGCUGUUGUAUGCUAGAUAGAAGCAAAAGGAUUAUGAAAGUUUGAAGACAGCCCCGGCAUGAGACAUUAUCUCACAACUUUCAAAUAUAAAAAAAAAAGUAAUAAACAAAUGAAGAAAUUAAGUAAUGUGGAAGAAGGAGGAAGAGGAGAGUACUGUAAUAAGCAGAGAGAACCUCAUAGGAAGAAAAGCAGUGUCAACUCACCAGACUCCCCAGAGUUCCCAGAGACUAAGCCAAAAAACCAGGAGACCUCAUGGGCUCAUUUGUGGUCUCAGGGACAUGAGACACAGAGAUCUGCUUUGUAUGUACUCCUUGGGAAAUGAUGUGCUAAAUCCCGUUGAACUUUGAUGCCAGAAGGAAGAGGAUGCUUUCAUCACAAAUGCAGAUAUGCUAUACACACAAGGAACAACAGAACCCAGGAGUUGAUGAUGAUGAUGAUUAUGAUGAUGAUGAUGAUGAUGAUGAUGAUGAUGAUGUUGCUCAGACUCUUUCAAAUGAACCAGAAAAUAUAAGUGGAUCACAGAAUGUGACACUGUCUCACAAAUUGCAAAAAUUAAACAGAAUAUGAACAAAAAUAGAAAUAAAAUAAAGGAGAAAAGGAGGAGGAAUCAGAGGAGAAAAAGGAGGAAGAGGAUAAAAGGAGGACACCACUAAUCAGAGAAAAUGAAAAGUUCAUAAAAUGUGCUCUCAGUUUUCUCCCAAGAAAAAGAUUCAUGAGAGGUGAAGGGAGAGUAUUAAUAGAGAAUUUGCAUUUACAACUGAGUUAUCAAAUUUCUCUUAAUCUCUACACAGUCUUCAGGAAGUAUGAAUAAAUUUUCCAAUCCAUGAACACCAUCUAGAAGGGGUGAAUACUCCAGUUAGUCACCAGCUUAACUUCUUCAUGUUCAAUGAGAUAGAUUAAGGUGAGCCCUGGCAGUAGGCAAGAAAAUGACAUCAUCUCUCAUAGUGGCCAUCGUACUGCAAUCCAGGUAGAGACACUUGUCGUUCUGACAUCAUCUUGGAGAUCUUGUGCCAGGUUGUAUUGCACACACGGAACAACACCACCCAGGAGGUAGAGGCAGAAAAAUAUGAAUCUCAAGACCAUCCUAUGGAUUUCUCUGGACAGUCUGAGUCCAUAUCUGAGGAAAGGUGAUAUAUGUUCUGUGCUGUUGUAUGCUAGAACCUCAUAGGAAGAAAAGCAGUGUCAACUCACCAGACUCCCCAGAGUUCCCAGAGACUACGCCAAAAAACAAGGAGCCCUCAUGGGCUCAUUUGUGGUCUCAGGUACAUGAGUCUCAGAGAUCGGCCUUGUAUGUAGUCCUUGGGAAAGAAUGUGCUAAAUCCCGUUGAACUUUGAUGCCAAAAGGAAGAGGAUGCUUUCAUCAUAAAUGCCGAUAUGCUAUACACACAAGGAACAACAGAACCCAGGAGGGACUGAAUUUUUCAAAUAUGAAAAUAUAGACAGAAGGUACCAUGCUGUAACCUGUAAUUCCACACUGAGAGAGAUGAACUGGGACUACCCGUCUGAGUACACUUUGGAUUAAACUAGUGAGAAGGAAACCUAGGCUGCAGUUUGGGAGGAUGCAUCACAAAUCACCAAAAGAAAAUGUGACACUGUCUCACAAAUUCCAAAAAUUAAACAGAAUAUGAACAAAACUAGAAAUAAAAUAAAGGAGAAAAGGAGGAGGAAUCAGAGGAGAAAAAGGAGGAAGAGGAUAAAAGGAGGACUCCACUAAUCAGAGAAAACGAAAAGCUCAUAAAAUGAAGUACGAAUAAAUUUUCCAAUCCAUGAACACUAUCUGGAAGGGGUGAAUACUCCAGUUAGUCACCAACUUAACUUCUUCAUGUUCAAUGCGAUAGAAUGUGACACUGUCUCACAAAUUCAAAAAUUAAACAGAAUAUGAACAAAACUAGAAAUAAAAUAAAGGAGAAAAGGAGGAGGAUUCAGAGGAGAACAAGGAGGAAGAAGAUAAAAGGAGGACUCCACUAAUCAGAGAAAAUGAAAAGCUCAUAAAAUGAAGUAUGAAUAAAUUUUCCAAUCCAUGAACACUCUCUAGAAGGGGUGAAUACUCCCGUUAGUCACCAACUUAACUUCUUCAUGUUCAAUGAGAUAGGGAUCUGUUUCUGAAAACAUGACAGAAGAGACUAAUGGUUCAAGUGCAACUCAUUGGCUGCAAGGUUCCCCAGUAUGGGGCAUGUGCAAAUAGCAUAGGAUGAUAGACAAGAUCAGCAGCACCAAUGGGUUGGAGACAGCUCUAGCCCGAAUGUCCAACUGUAUAUGUGCUACAGAGGAAGAGCUAGAGAAGUUAUGGAGAUCUUUAACAGAUGCCAGAAAAAGUUGGAUUAUACACACAAGGAACAACACCACCCAGGAGAAAGAGGCAGAAAAAUAUGAAUCUCAAGACCAUCCUAUGGAUUUCUCUGGACAGUCUGAAUCCAUAUCAGAGGAAAGGUGAUAUAUGUUCUGUGCUGUUGUAUGCUGUAAGAAUUUAAUUGCUUUUCAUUUUAUAGCAGUUACAUUGAAUGUAUUGAGUUGAGGUCCAGAAAAUGCUUUCAACUUUUAAACAAUAUCCAUUCUAUGAAAGAUGAUAGGGUCUUUUAAAAUUGUAUAAUAUAUGAUAGUAUUGUGAUUUGGUGGUAAGACUGUGUUGACAAGAUUCAGAACACAGUGGUUUGAGUGAGAUGCACAAUAUUACUUUCAAAUUUUCAAAUACCUGAGUCCAUGUCUAUGGCUGUUUGGGGAAGAUUAGGAGAUACAACAUUGCUGUGCAAAAAAUAUCCCUGGAGAUAGCAUUCUAUCAUUCAAAUAUCCCAUGAUGUUUCAAAUAGCCCUCUUUUCUUCUUCUUUGAAAUAUGAACUACUACUUCAGCAACCUACUGCUUGCCAUCCAAGAUACAGAAAGUUGAGAAAAAAUCUUUCCUAUUACAAUUUUAAUAUUAUUAAUAUAUUUGGUUGUUGUUAUUAAAGGAUUCCAAAACAUAAUCCUGGCUAUAGUUAAAAACAAUACUGUCUCUCUGUCUAUGCCUCUCAGGUAUUACAUCUAAAGGCAUAUACCAAAUAGACUGGACUUUCUGCACAAAAAAUUUAUUUUUAAAAGUAAAUAAUAAUCAAAAUUAAACAUACAUUUUAAAAUGAAAUUAAAAACAUUCCUGGUAAAUUGUCUCACAUCUUUCAUCAUGUCAUCCUAGAGAUGGAAGCAAAAGGAUUAUUAAAGUUUAAAGACAGCCCAGGCAUGAGACAUUAUCUCACAACUUUCAAAUAUAAAAAAAGUAAUAAACAAAUGAAGAAAUUAAGUGAUGUGGAAGAAGGAGGAAGAGGAGAGGACUGUAAUAAGCAGAGGAAGUAUAACUGAAUUUUCCAAUCCAUGAACAUUGUCAAGAAGGAGUGAAUACUCCAGUAAGUCACCUACUUAACUUCUUCAUGUUCAAUGAGAUAGCUGGAAAAAGCUGAGGAUGAGGAGGACCACCCUGUAGAGGGUAUAGUAGUCUCAAUUAACCUGGACCCCCAAGAUCUCUCAAACACCAGAACACCAGACAGCAUACAGCAGCUGACAAGAGGGAUUGAUUUCUGAAAACAUGACAGAAGAGACUAAUGGUUCAAGUGCAACUCAUUGGCUGCAAGGUUCCCCAGUAUGGGGCAUGUGCAAAUAGCAUAGGAUGAUAGACAAGAUCAGCAGCACCAAUGGGUUGGAGACAGCUCUAGCCCGAAUGUCCAACUGUAUAUGUGCUACAGAGGAAGAGCUAGAGAAGUUAUGGAGAUCUUUAACAGAUGCCAGAAAAAAGUUGGAUUAUACACACAAGGAACAACACCACCCAGGAGAAAGAGGCAGAAAAAUAUGAAUCUCAAGACCAUCCUAUGGAUUUCUCUGGACAGUCUGAAUCCAUAUCAGAGGAAAGAGAACUUCAUAGGAAGAAAAGCAGUGUCAACUCACCAGACUCCCCAGAGUUCCCAAAGACUACGCCAAAAAACAAGGAGCCUCAUGGGCUCAUUUGUGGUCUCAGGGACAUGAGUCUCAGAGAUCUGCCUUGUAUGUACUCCUUGGGAAAGGAUGUGCUAAAUCCCGUUGAACUUUGAUGCCAAAAGGAAGAGGAUGCUUUCAUCACAAAUGCCGAUAUACUAUACACACAAGGAACAACAGAUCCCAGGAGAAUGAGACACUGUUUCACAAGUUCCAAAAAAUAAAGGGAUAUGAAUAAAAACAGAAAUUAAAUAAAGGAGAAAAGCAAGAGGAGACAGAGGAGAAAAAAGUGGAGUAAGGGAAAAGGAGGACUCCAUUAAUCAGAGACAAUGGAAAGCUCACAAAAAGAAGUAUGAAUAAAUUUUCCAAUCCAUGAACACUAUCUGGAAGGGGUGAAUACUCCAGUUAGUCACCAACUUAACUUCUUCAUGUUCAAUGCGAUAGAAUGUGACACUGUCUCACAAAUUCCAAAAAUUAAACAGAAUAUGAACAAAACUAGAAAUAAAAUAAAGGAGAAAAAGAGGAGGAAUCAGAGGAGAACAAGGAGGAAGAAGAUAAAAGGAGGACUCCACUAAUCAGAGAAAAUGAAAAGCUCAUAAAAUGAAGUAUGAAUAAAUUUUCCAAUCCAUGAACACUCUCUAGAAGGGGUGAAUACUCCCGUUAGUCACCAACUUAACUUCUUCAUGUUCAAUGAGAUAGAGAACUUCAUAGGAAGAAAAGCAGUGUCAACUCACCAGACUCCCCAGAGUUCCCAAAGACUACGCCAAAAAACAAGGAGCCUCAUGGGCUCAUUUGUGGUCUCAGGGACAUGAGUCUCAGAGAUCUGCCUUGUAUGUACUCCUUGGGAAAGGAUGUGCUAAAUCCCGUUGAACUUUGAUGCCAAAAGGAAGAGGAUGCUUUCAUCACAAAUGCCGAUAUACUAUACACACAAGGAACAACAGAUCCCAGGAGGUAUGUGUCUGCCUUUGUUGCCAUCAAUAAGAGAGAGUAGCUUCUGUGAUCAUGGCUGAGCAAUAUAUUAUUUAAAGGAAGUAUGAAUAAAUUUUCCAAUCCAUAAACACUGUCAAGAAGGUGUGAGUACUCCAGUUAGUCAGCAACUUAACUUCUUUGUGUUCAAUGAGAUAGAAUGUGACACUGUCUCACAAAUUCCAAAAAUUAAACAGAAUAUGAACAAAACUAGAAAUAAAAUAAAGGAGAAAAGGAGGAGGAAUCAGAGGAGAAAAAGGAGGAAGAGGAUAAAAGGAGGACUCCACUAAUCAGAGAAAAUGAAAAGCUCAUAAAAUGAAGUAUGAAUAAAUUUUCCAAUCCAUGAACACUAUAUGGAAGGGGUGAAUACUCCAGUUAGUCACCAACUUAAUUUCUUCAUGUUCAAUGAGAUAGGGAUUGAUUUCUGAAAACAUGACAGAAGAAACUAAUGGUUCAAGUGCAACUCAUUGGCUGCAAGGUUACCCAGUAUGGGGCAUGUGCAAAUAGCAUAGGAUGAUAGACAAGAUCAGCAGCACCAAUGGUUUGGAGACAGCUCUAGCCCGAAUGUCCAACUGUAUAUGUGCUACAGAGGAAGAGCUAGAGAAGUUAUGGAGAUCUUUAACAGAUGCCAGAAAAAAGUUGGAUUGUACACACAAGGAACAACACCACCCAGGAGAUAGAGGCAGAAAAAUAUGAAUCUCAAGAAAUCUAUGGAUUUAUCUGGACAGUCUGAAUCCAUAAAGAGGAAAGGUGAUAUAUGUUCUGUGCUGUUUUAUGCUAGAACCUCAUAGGAAGAAAAGCAGUGUCAACUCACCAGACUCCCCAGAAUUCCCAGAGACUAUGCCAAAAAACAAGGAGACCUCAUGGGCUCAUUUGUGGUCUCAGGGACAUGAGUCUCAGAGAUCUGCCUUGUAUGUACUCCUUGGGAAAUGAUGUGCUAAAUCCCGUUGAACUUUGAUGCCAAAAGGAAGAGGAUGCUUUCAUCACAAAUGCCGAUAUGCUAUACACACAAGGAACAACAGAACCCAGGAGGAUGUAUAAAUAAAUUUUCCAAUCCAUGAACAUUGUCGAGAAGGAGUGAAUACUCCAGUUAGUCACCUAAUUAACUUCUUCAUGUUCAAUGAGAUAGGUGCUCUCAGUUUUCUCCCAAGAAAAAGAUCCAUGAGAGAUGAAGGGAGAGUAUUAAUAGAGAAUUUGCAUUUACAACUGAGUUACCAAAUUUCUCUUAAUCUCUACACAGUGUUCAGGAAUUAUGAAUAAAUUUUCCAAUCCAUGAACACCAUCUAGAAGGGGUGAAUACUCCAGUUGGUCACCAACUUAAGUUCUUCAUGUUCAAUGAGAUAGAGAACCUCAUAGGAAGAAAAGCAGUGUCAACUCACCAGACUCCCCAGAGUUCCCAGAGACUACGCCAAAAAACAAGGAGCCCUCAUGGGCUCAUUUGUGGUCUCAGGGACAUGAGUCUCAGAGAUCUGCCUUGUAUGUACUCCUUGGGAAAGAAUGUGCUAAAUCCCGUUGAACUUUGAUGCCAAAAGGAAGAGGAUGCUUUCAUCAUAAAUGCCGAUAUGCUAUACACACAAGGAACAACAGAACCCAGGAGGCAUCUGAGCUAUGUCAAGAAUGUGUCUCAUGGACUAGGAAGUAUGAAUAAAUUUUCCAAUCCAUGAACAUUGUCGAGAAGGAGUGAAUACUCCAGUAAGUCACCUACUUAACUUCUUCAUGUUCAAUGAGAUAGAAUGUGACACUGUCUCACAAAUUCCAAAAAUUAAACAGAAUAUGAAUAAAAGUAGAAAUAAAAGAAGGAGAAAAUGAGGAGGAAUCAGAGGUGAACAAGGAGGAAGAAGAUAAAAGGAGGACUCCACUAAUCAGAGAAAUUGAAAAGCUCAUAAAAUGAAAUAUGAAUAAAUUUUCCAAUCCAUGAACACUAUCUAGAAGGGGUGUAUACUCCCGUUAGUCACCAACUUAACUUCUUCAUGUUCAAUGAGAUAGAUUAGGGCGAGCCCUGGCAACAGGCAAGAAAAUGACCUCAUCUCUCAUAGUGGCCAUUGUACCGCAAUCCAGGUAGAGACACUUGUCGUUCUGACAUCAUCUUGGAGAUCUUGUGCCAGGGUGGAUUGUACACACAAGGAAAAACACCACCCAGGAGAUAGAGGCAGAAAAAUAUGAAUCUCAAGACCAUCCUAUGGAUUUCUCUGGACAGUCUGAAUCCAUAUCAGAGGAAAGGUGAUAUAUGUCUGUGCUGUUGUAUGCUUUUCCUGCCACAAGUCACCGAUGGCAUCCCCUCUCCUCCCUGCUUCUGUGAGCAUGCUUGAACAUCCACCAGAUCAAUCCUGCCUCACCACCCUAGCAUUCCCCUAUGCUAGUGCAUUGAUCCUUCACUAAACUAAGGGCCUCCCCUCCCACUGAUGCUACCUAAGGCCAUCCUCUGAUACAUUUGCGGCUUGGUGCUCUGGGUCCUUCACUGUGUACUGUUUGGUUCGUGUUUAGUCCCUGGGAGCUCUAGGAGGUCUGGUUAGCUGCUAUCGUGGUUUUUCCUAUGGUGUUGCAAACCUCUUCAGAUCCUUCAGUCCUUCCCCUAAAUCCUCCAUUGGGUCCCAGUGCUCAGUCCAACUGUUGGCUGAAAGCGUCCGCAUCGGUAUUGGUCAAACUCUGGCAGAGGCUCUCCUGAGACAGCUAUAUCAGGCUCUUGUCAGCAAGCACUUAUUGGCAUCAGUGAUAGUGUCGGCUUGGUGGCAGCACAUGGGAAGUAGCCCUAGACUUUUCACAAGCUUGGCAAUUAAUCUACCGUGGUCACAUUUCCAAAAUAAUGACACCUGCUCACCCAGCAACUAUCAAUGUUAAUGCCCUACGACUGAACUAUAGGUUAAAUUGCACACACAAGGAACAACAGCACAGUGGACAUAGAGGCAUAAAAAUACCAAGCUCAAGGUCAUCCAAAGCACUUCUCUCGACAGCCUGUGUUCCUUUCAGAGGAAAGGUAAUAUGUGCUCUCUGCAAUUUUUCACUCGAUAUAUGUAACUUGCGUUUGAUUUUACAGGAAUCACAUUAAAAGUACUGACCUGAGUCUCAGAAGACAUUUCUAACUUUUAAACAAAAUUUAUUCUAUGAUAGAUAAUGUAGUUUUAAAAUUGUACAUUAUACAUUUUUAUUAUGGUUUGGUUGUGAGUGGUUUGAAUGAGAUGUCUCCAAUUUCAAGUACUUGAUUCCUAGUUCAUGGCCAUUUGGGAAUGAUUAGGAGACACUGCUUCGCUAGACAAAAGAUAUCUUAGGAAUAGCUUUCUAUAUGUAGCAGAGAAUAGCCUUGUUAGGGACCAGUGGAAGGGGAUGGCCUUGGUCCUCCCAAGGUUGGACUCCCAGUUCAGGGAUUAUGGGGAAGGCAUUAAAGGGGAUGGAUGGGGGGAAUACCCAUAUGGAGGAGGAGGAGGGGAUGGAGCCUUAUAGACAGGAAACAGAGAAAGGGAAUAACAUUUGAAAUGUAAGUAACAAGAUAUUUCUAAUUAAACAAAGAAAAGAAAGAAACCAAAAAAAAUAUAUCUCAUGAUAUUUCAAAUAGUUCUCCCUGUUUCCUCUCUGGGCUAAAGCUUUACUUCAGGAAACCUUUGCUUGCCACUCAAGAUUAAAAUCAGAAAUACAUUUUUGCUGCUACAAUUCUAAUUUUAUUGGUACAUUUUUGUUGUUGUUAAUAAAGGAUGUCAAAUGUAACUCUGCAAAUAAAGUCAAUUCAAACUCUGCCUAUGCCUAUCCAGUGUUAGAUUUAAAGUCAUAUGUAAAAAUGACUGAUCUUUCACAAAAAUUUUAACUGCAAAUGCCAUUAAUAACCAAAGGCAGAUGCAUAUUUAAAAUGAAAUAAAUAGCAUUCAAGGUAUAAUGACUCACAUUUUUAAUUAUAUCAUUCAAGAGAUAGAAGCAAAGGAUUACUAAAAGACUGAGGCCAGCCAGCCCUAUAGGAUGAGGCUCUCACAAUUUCCAUAAUAAAAACAAGGUAUAAACAAAAGAAGAAAUUAUGUAGAUGAUGGAGGAGGAGGAGGAGGAGGAGAAAAAGAAGAAGACAAGAAAGAAGGAGUAGGAGAGGAAAAGAAGGACACCAAUAAUCAGAGACAGUGAAAAGCUAGAGAAUAUGAGUAAAUUUAUUAACACAUGUAAAUUAGAGUUCUGUGUUAUAGAAAGGAGUGGUUUUAGGAAAGCUGAAACUAUACAAAUUAAACUUCUGUCAUGAAAAAAGACCAAAAAAAUACAUAUGUACACAAUCCUUUAUAUUCCCAGAUGGUGUAGCCUGUAUCCUUUGGGUUGAUUUUAAGAUAUAUUAAUUCCACGAUGAUACAACUCUUCUAACUGCGCAUGUUAAUUAUCCAUUGAAUUGAUGCUGUAUCCGUGUUCUUCAUGAUACGGACAUGGUAAGCUGUACACAGAAAUUAAUACAAGUUUCUCAGAUAACAUUAUCAAUGCAAAAAUUAGAAGAAGAUCUCAGAUUACAAUAGCAUGAUUUAAUCCAUAGAACAUCAUAGCAAAUAGUACUGUACUCAUAUCAUAGAACUUUUUAUUCUUAGAUACUAUUGAAAUGGUUGUUGUCUCUUUCAACUUGAUGUGAUCUAGAAUCACCUGAGAAGGAAGUCAUCCUUGAGCAGGGUUAAAAUAAUUAAUUUAAUUGAACUAGGAGGACCUGUCCUUGUGGAUAGGAUCAGUCUGAGUAUCCUUACUACUGGCCUCUUCCCUAAUAAAUAGGCUUUCUGGAUUUCAAGCAAUAAUGCUACAAACCAAAGCCCAAAGACUGAUGAUUUUACAAAUAUAUCCACAAUUAGUAAUUAAUUAUAGAUUAAAAUGUAAUUUAUUUUAAAACACAGGGAUUUUUUAGGUAUUUACAGUGUCUUAACCCCACUUUGAUACACAGGAUAUAGAGAGCUGCACAUUUGGGAUUCUUUUCUUUUGUUUAGCUUAACCUAUAUCAUCUUGACUUCUGUCUUUAUUUUAUAAAAUAUGGAAGACAGGGCAGCCAAGAUAUAAAAACCAUUAACAUUAACCUGCUAGGUGCAGCUUAAGAAAAAAAAAAAACCACUCUCCAAUCUAUUCUACACAGUGUCAUCCUGCCCAGAAAGAGCUAUUGAUGAAAACAUUGUCUAUAAAAAUAAUAAAGCAAACAAUGACUUCAUGAAAUUCUUAUCCAAAUGGAUGGAACUAGAAAAUAUCAUCCAGAGUGAGGGAACCCAAUCACAAAAGGGCUGACAUGAUAAGUGGAUAUUAGCCCAAAAGUUUGGAAUAUUCAAGAUACAAUUCACAGACCAUAUUAACCUCAAGAAGAAGGAAGACCAAAUGUGGUUGUUUAGUACUUCUUAGAAGGGAGAACAAAAAACUCAAAGGAGGAAAUACAGGGACAAAUAGUGAAGCAGAGACUAAAGGAAAGGCCAGCCAGAGACAGAUGCACCUGGGGAUCUGUCACAUAUGCAGCCACCAAAUCCAGUCACUAUUGCUGAUCCAAGAAAUGUUUGCUGAGGGGAGCCUGAUAUGGAUGUUUCCUGAGAGGCUUUGUCAGAACCUUACUAAUACAGAUUAAGAUGCUUACUGCUUACCAUCAGACUGAGCACUAGGGCCUCAAAGAAGAAAUCGGAGAAAGGACUGAAGGAGCUGAAGGGGUGUGCAACCCCAUAGGAAGAACUACAAUAUCAACCCACAGGACCACCCAGUGCUCCCAGGUACUAAACCACCAACCAAAGAGUAUACAUGGGGGAACUCACUGCUCCAGCUGCAUAUGUAGCAUAGGACGGCAUUGUCUGGAAACAAUAAGAAAAGCCCUUGGUCCUGUGAAGGCUCUUUUCUCCACUCUACAGGAAUGCAAGUGUGCUGAGGAAAAAUGGGAUGAUGGGAGCGGCAGCAUCCUCAUAAAAGCAGGGGUAGGAGGGAUGGGAGAGAGGGGAACCUGGAAAGUGGAUAACAUUUGAAAUGUAAAUACAUAAAAUACUCAAUAAAUAUGCAAUAAAAUGUAACCCUGACCAGGACAGACCCCAAAGUGCAAAAUCCGUAGAGAAAAUACUCUGAAAUAAAGAAGCAAAAAUAGUUUAAAUGGAAAAGAUGAAAGGUUUAAAUGUAAUAAGGAAAACAAAAGUGCCUUUUGUGAGCAUUGAGGUUGAUGAUACAACAGAUGAUGUAAUAAUAAUAAUAAAUCAGUAUGUCUAAUUGAGGACUUGCUGCCAGGCAUCUUGGGACAAUUCUGUCAAAUACAACACAUAGAAUUGUGAUUUCACUGGCUUUUUCUUCAUAGGAAUCAUUAUUUGAAAGGUAGCUUUCAAAUGAUUUCAGAAGUAUGUUUUCAUCAAGCUUUAAACUUUGCCAGCAAUGGAAGAAGAUUCUGAGGGAAUGAUCUGUCAUAGCACUGCCUGUUUAACGGUGAUUACCACCAUUUCUCAGUAUGCCAUGUGUUGAUACAUUACCAUACUUAUCUCCUCAGUCCUACAUUGAAGCAAAUUUAGACACAAUGAUAGCUUCUGAAAGUUCUGCCAUGGAAUAGGAAGCUGAGUACUUCCACAUGCAUUAAAAACUAUCCUUUUAUUUUUGCAAAAGUUUUCCUUCCAUGAUUUUAUAGUGCACAGUGCACAUUGUCCAAAUUCAAAGCACAUUUAGUAAUUCUGCAUUUAUUUCCCUAUCCCAUGUAUGCAUGUAAAGGCUAUUAUUGAAUCAAUAUAUUUACAUUCAUUGGAAAAUAAUUGAAGUAUGAACAUUUAAAUCAGCAGCUACUUUAUAUUUUUGUUUGUUCUUUCAUUUAUAUAUUUAGCAGACAUCUAAAUAGCCAAUGAUUAAAGUUGCAUAGAAGAUCCUGAGUGAUGUUUCUGCUUUUAAAAGCAAGUACCGCAAAAGGAUUUCCCAGAACUCAUGUCAGGAAUUGCAAAACUACAUGCAACUGUUGAUCUGGAGACAUAUACAGCAUUUGGCACCUAUGUACCUCUGCACACCUGUACACAUACAGAGAAAGAGAGAGAGAGAGAGAGAGAGAGAGAGAGAGAGAGAGAGAGAGAGAGAGAGAGAGAGAAGAAAACUGAGACCAAGACAGAGACAGAGACAGAGAACAGACAGACAGAGACUGAGUGAUAGAGAAAAAGAUGGAGACAGACAGAGAAAUAUACACACAUGACCAAAUAUAAUAAAAUCUAGCUAAAAAAUGGUGUCACAUGACAUUUUUUCUUGCACUUAUGAACCAGAAGCUAGUCAAUAUCUGAGUUCAAAGCCAGCCCAGUCCACGAAGUGAGUUCCCAGUCCAGCAAAUUCUAACCAGUAAGACCUUGAUAAAAAAACAAACAAGCAAACAAUCAAAUAUACAAAGAUCACCUAGCAACAUUUUUAAACAUAAAGGUUAAGUUCAUCACUGAAUGAUAAGCCAAUGCUUUCAUUAAACAACGAAUAUUAUUUUCAUGGUAAGAGUUUCAUUUACAUGAGCACUUAGGAAAUUUUAAAAAUACACCUGAUCAAGUAAAACUGAUUAAUGAAGAACAUAUUUAAGGCAUCAUCUUUUAUUUCUACAUGAUUUCUUCUGAUAUUACAAGCAUCUAGUACUUUUGUACAUUCUCUAAUUUGAGUCACAUUUUUCUAAGGUCCCUUUCUUUCCUUUGUGUAGGGAUCUGAAAGCAAAUACAAAUCAAUAUUAUGAAGUCACCAUUGCCCAGUAAGCACCUUGAAUUCAUCCCUGGACAAUUUAUACAGGAGUUUACAAAGACCCUUCUCUUUCAUACUAACAAUAUGACAGCUUAAAGCUCAUGGCUGCCUGCCUCAUGUCAUUAGCUUUAGAAAAGAUUUUGAAUCUCUGUAACCUAGCAACCAUGCACACAUGCGUGAUUGUAGGGCUAUUCUAGCUCACUAGCACAGACUGGGGGUUGGGAGUGUGUUAGUUAUGUCAGCACACCAGAACCUGCUGAGAGAAGAGGCAACCAAAGAUUCCUUUCACAUACACCUUAGGAAUGAUCAGCAAAGGCAGUGCAGCAAACAAGUUCAGCUCCCUCAUAGUCCCAUAAUUUGUUUCAUAGAUAGACAUGAUUUUUACACAUUGAGUGUUGCAAAUUUGUCCGGAUUAGAACAUUGUGCUAUCCAUCUCAAGUCUUUGGCUGUAGAAAAUCAGAUCGCAUCAGGACCUGUCUUCUUUUGUCCUGUCUUGUGCUGUGUAGGCUACAGUGCCCCUCCCCUUGAGCUUUCAUUCUAUCCUGCCACAGUUCAGUUCUCCUACAGCGUAAAUAUUAACAGAUCAAAGAGCUGAUUACUCAUGUGUGGGAGUAAGGACAGACAGAAAAAAAAGAACAUUUAUAUUGGUAUACAAAUGUUGCAUAAGAACAAUAUUUCUAAGGGAAUUUAAAUUAGGUUCUGCCUUGCCUUGCUGGAUGUGAGGGGAUAAAAGCACUUGAGGGCUUUCUGAACUUUUGUGUUAAACUCCACUUAUCAGUAAGUACAUAUUGUAUGUGUUUUUUGUGUCUGAAUUACCUCACUCAGAAUGAUGUUUUCUAGUUCCACCUAUUUGCCUGCAAAUUUCAUGAAGUCAAUAUUUUUUAAUAACUGAGUAGUAUUCCAUUGUGUAAAUGUACCUCAUUUUCUCUUUUUUUUAACAUUUUUAUUGGAUGUUUUUGAAUUACAUUUUAAAUGAUAUCUGCUUUUGUGGAUUUCCUAUCCAUAAGUCCCCUACAUUAUCCCUCAUUCUUCUAUGUAGGUGUUCCCCCUCCCAUCCACUCACCCCUUACUGUCUCCCCAUCAGACAUUCCCUGCAAUGGGGUGUCCAGCCUAUGUGGUUCCAAGCACUUUUCCUCCCAUUAGUGCAUAACCUGGCCCUUCUCUGCUAAUGAUAAGGCUGGAGCAAUGGGUCAAUCCAUGUGUACUCUUUGAAUGGUGGUUUACUCCCUAGGAGCUCUGGUUGGUUGGUAUUGUUGUUCUUAUGCAGUGGCAAAUCCCUUCAGCUCCUUCAUCCUUUCUCUAACUCCUCCAAUGGGGAACCAGUUCUCAGUUCAAUGUGAGCAUUCGCCUCUAAAUUUGUCAUGCUGUGGCAGAGACUCUUACAAGACAGCUGUAUCAGGCUCUUGUCAGCAUGCACUUCUUAGAAUAAGCAGUUUUGUCUGGAUUUUGUUUUGUAUAUGGGCUGGAUCACCAGGUAGGGCAGGCUCUGAAUGGCCAUUUCUUCUAUCUACCAUCAUUUGUUAAAAAUGCUAUCCUUUUCCACUGGAUGUUUUUAGUUCCUUCAUCAAAGAUCAAGUAACCAUAGGUGUGUUGGUACAUUUCUGGGUCUUCAAUUCUAUUCCAUUGAUCUAUUUGCCUGUCUCUGUACCAAUUCCAUACAGAUUUUUGUCACUAUUGGUCUUUAAAACAUCUUGAGAUCAGGGAUGGUGAUUCCCCCAGAAGUUUUUUGUUUGUUCUUUUUUUGUUUUUUGUUUUUGUUUGUUUGUUUGUUUGUUUUUUUGUUUUUUUUGUUCUUUUUUUGUUUUUUUUAUGUUUGAGGAUAGUUUUUGCUAUCCUGGGAUUUUUAUUUUUCCAAAUGAAUUUGCAAAUUGCUCUUUCUAACUCUUCGAAGAAUUCAUUUGGAAACUUCUUGGGAUUGCAUUGAAUCUACACAUUGCUUUUGGCAAGAUGGCCAUUUUUACAAUAUUAUUCCUGCCAAUCCAAGUGCAUGUGAGAUCUUUCCAUCUUCUGGGAUCUUCAUUGAUUUCUUUCUUCAUAAUCUGGAAGUUCUUCCCAUAAAGGUCUUUCACUUGCUUGGUUAGAGUCACACCAAGGUAUUUUAUAUUAUUUCUGAAAAUGUAAAAUGUGUCAUAUCCCUAAUUUCUUUCUCAGUCCAUUUAUUCUUUGAGUAAAGGAAGGCUACUGAUUUGUUUGAGUUAAUUUUAUUCCAGCCACUUUGCUGAAGUUGGAUAUCAGGGUUUCUUGUUCUCUUGUGGAACUUUUGGGUCACUUAAGUAUACUAUCAUAGCAUCAGAAAAUUGUGAUAUUUUGAUUCAUCCUUUCCAAUAUGUAUCCAUUUGACCUCCUUUUGUUGUAAUUGUGUAAUUGUGUAAUAGUGGCUUCAUAGAAGGAAUAGGGCAACAUUCCUUCUGUUUCUCUUUUGUGGACUAGUUUAGACAGUAGGUAUUGUGUUGUCUAUGAAGCUCUGAUAGAAUUCUGCACUACACCCACCUGGUCCUGGACUUUUUUUAGUUGGGAGACUUUUAAUAACUGCUUGUAUUUCUUUAGGAGUUAUGGGACAGUUUCAAUGGUUUAUUUGGUCCUGAUUUUACUUUGAUACCUCAUAUAUGUCUAGAAAAUUGUCCAUAUCCUCCAGAUUUUCAAUUCAUGUUGAAUAUACC
Rattus norvegicus (Norway rat) is the source of this 24747-nucleotide non-coding RNA. NCBI's taxonomy places the organism in Eukaryota, Metazoa, Chordata, Mammalia, Rodentia, Muridae. The record is from RefSeq and is a predicted model, not a curated record.